This 429-nucleotide ribosomal RNA is filed under the name Streptococcus sp. oral taxon C65. RNAcentral's name for it is "bacterial SSU rRNA". It matches the Rfam family "Bacterial small subunit ribosomal RNA", at positions 37 to 485 of the family's 1533-position model. The record is from RNAcentral. Lineage: Bacteria; Bacillati; Bacillota; Bacilli; Lactobacillales; Streptococcaceae.
GACGAAGUGGCGGCGUGCUAAUACAUGCAAGUAGAACGCUGAAGAAGGAGCGCUCUUUUGGAUGAGUUGCGAACGGGUGAGUAACGGUAGGUAACUGCCUUAGCGGGGAUAACUAUUGGAAACGAUAGCUAAUACCGCAUAACAAUGAAUGCUCAUGUCAUUAUUGAAGGGGCAAUUGCUCCAUCAAGAUGGACUGCGUUGUAUUAGCUAGUAGGUGAGGUACGGUCACUAGGGACGAUACAUACCGCUGAGAGGGUGAUCGGCCCCUGGGAUGAGACACGGCCCAGACUCUCGGAGGCAGCAGUAGAAUCUUCGGCAAUGGGCAACCCUGCGAGCACGCCGCGUAGUGAAAAGGUUUUCGAUCGUAAAGCUCUGUGUAAGUCAAAACAGUGUGAGAUGGAAAAUUCACACUGUGACGGUAGCUUACCA